Molecule: long non-coding RNA, 1213 nt
Filed under: Homo sapiens (human)
Lineage: Eukaryota; Metazoa; Chordata; Mammalia; Primates; Hominidae
Description: PCBP1 antisense RNA 1
Source: RNAcentral
GCAUUUCUCUGGUGAUUAGUGCAGUUCAGCACCUUUUCAGAUUCCUGUUGGCCAUUUGUGGAGUCUCACUCUGUAGCCCAAGCUGGAGUGGCGUGAUCUCGACUCACUGCAACCUCCGCCUCCUGGGAUCAAGUGAUUCUCGUGCCUCAGCCUCCUGAGUAGCCGGGACUACAGGUCACAGAAUUUUCCACACUCCUUGACAGAGGUGCUUAACCCUUAUCCAUCAGCAUUCUCAGACAGCACCUCCGGUUAGGGACAGUAUCUGACCGUCCGACAUCCCUGCAGCCCCCAUGUGUCACACAGACUCAGCCUCAGGUAGAUGGUUUCCGUAGAUGGUGGCUUUCUUUGGACCCUUGACAUCAACCAGUUACUAUUUGGGCCACACAUAACAAAUAGAAGCAGAGCAAGCCCUGGAACUCCUGCCUGACAGUGACACGACGACAGAAACAUCUUACCAGUCAGAGGACCAUGAGAAAUAGAUUCAAGGAGCAUUCCACGUGCAAGUGAGUCUUGGCCCCAUCUGCCUUUGGAUUUUAGCCGUGAACUGGAAGGUAUUGGAAAGAAGACCCUCAGAAAUAGCUUAAUCAAAAUCCCUGCGUCUGAACCAAGUGCCUUAUUUCUCUGUGGGCCUCAAGCUUCGCUGACAUCUGUGGAGCACACUGUCCUAACAGGAGUGCUGUCUGAUUUCCCAACGCUCUGCAAAACAAACAGCCUGGAAGGGUGGCUGGUGGAAGGUGGUUUUUAGAGAGAGACUUGUAGAUAACAGGAAAGUGAAGGCUGUAAGGAAGGUUGUAAUUAAACAGCACAUGGAAACACAAUCACAUUAUUGUCCCAUUCCAUAGGGAUAAUGAUGACCACUUCAGUGGGAAAAGGAGAGGUUUUAAGUCAUUAGGGACUAUGGGCCACCUUUUAGGAAGAUUUAUUUUCAAAGGUUAAAAUAGUGUUUUGGCAAUUCAAGUUUCAUUUUCAGAAAAUGUAAUUGAUGGGAACCUCAGUGACUCUGGAUGAAUAAGAUGCUGUUGAGUGGCUCUGACUUGGGCCAGCCGUGCUUCUCACAGGACCUUGGAGACCAAGGUCACUGUGAUCUCAGGUUCAGGGGGCAAGUCCUCUCCACACAGCCCUAGUUGGCCUCACAGCUGAAAAUGUCUCCCUUACUGUUGGACUCCUUUGUUCACCCACAUGAGUUUGUGAAUAAAUCCUUUCCAGUCUGAAA